CGCCUACACAUGCAAGUCGAGCGGAAACGACUUAACUGAACCUUCGGGGAACGUUAAGGGCGUCGAGCGGCGGACGGGUGAGUAAUGCCUAGGAAAUUGCCUUGAUGUGGGGGAUAACCAUUGGAAACGAUGGCUAAUACCGCAUNAUGCCUACGGGCCAAAGAGGGGGACCUUCGGGCCUCUCGCGUCAAGAUAUGCCUAGGUGGGAUUAGCUAGUUGGUGAGGUAAGGGCUCACCAAGGCGACGAUCCCUAGCUGGUCUGAGAGGAUGAUCAGCCACACUGGAACUGAGACACGGUCCAGACUCCUACGGGAGGCAGCAGUGGGGAAUAUUGCACAAUGGGCGCAAGCCUGAUGCAGCCAUGCCGCGUGUAUGAAGAAGGCCUUCGGGUC
Molecule: ribosomal RNA, 392 nt
Filed under: uncultured Gammaproteobacteria bacterium
Lineage: Bacteria; Pseudomonadati; Pseudomonadota; Gammaproteobacteria
Description: bacterial SSU rRNA
Rfam family: Bacterial small subunit ribosomal RNA
Source: RNAcentral